GUAGGUGGCAAGCGUUGUCCGGGAAUUAUUGGGGCGUAAAGCGCGCGCAGGUGGUUUCUUAAGUCUGAUGUGAAAGCCCACGGGCUCAACCGUGGAGGGUCAUUGGAAACUGGGGAACUUGAGUGCAGAAGAGGAAAGUGGAAUUCCAAGUGUAGCGGUGAAAUGCGUAGAGAUUUGGAGGAACACCAGUGGCGAAGGCGACUUUCUGGUCUGUAACUGACACUGAGGCGCGAAAGCGUGGGGAGCAAACAGGAUUAGAUACCCUGGUAGUCCACGCCGUAAACGAUGAGUGCUAAGUGUUAGAGGGUUUCCGCCCUUUAGUGCUGCAGCUAACGCAUUAAGCACUCCGCCUGGGGAGUACGGUCGCAAAGACUG
This 375-nucleotide ribosomal RNA is filed under the name uncultured organism. RNAcentral describes it as "partial 16S ribosomal RNA". It matches the Rfam family "Bacterial small subunit ribosomal RNA", at positions 527 to 896 of the family's 1533-position model. The record is from RNAcentral.